This is a long non-coding RNA of Macaca fascicularis (crab-eating macaque), 1605 nucleotides long. Lineage: Eukaryota; Metazoa; Chordata; Mammalia; Primates; Cercopithecidae. The record is from Ensembl.
AUGGGCACACACUCAGGGACACACAUGGACACACAGGCUCCUAUGUGCACACACAGGGACACACAGGCUCAUGCACACGGGCACAUUCAGGGACACAGGCUCACAUGGGCACACACAUUCUCUCAGGGACACAGGCUCACACGCACACGGGCACACAGGAACACACAGGCUCACGCACAUGGGCACACAUGCUCAGGGACACACAGGCUCACACACACACGUUCUCUCAGGAACACAGGCUCACACACACGGGCAUACGCUCUCUUGGACACACAGGCUCACACCAGCAUGCACGCUCUCAGGGGCACACAGGCUCACAUGCACACGGGCACACAGGGAGACACACAGGCUCACGCACACGGGCACACAUGCUCAGGGACACACAGGCUCACACACGGGCCCACACACACAGGGACACAGGCUCACAUGCACACAGGCACACAGGCUCACACACACGGGCACACACGCUCUCUCAGUGACACAGGCUCACACACGGGCAUCCACACUCAGGGACACACAGGCUCACACACACGGGCACACUCAGGGACACACAGCCUCACAAGCUCUCUCAGGGACACACAGGUUCACACACACAGAGGCACACACACUCAGGAACACACAGGCUCUCACGGGCACACACACUCUCAGGGACACACAGGUUCUCACGGGCACACACACUCUCAGGGACACACAGGUUCACACACACGCACACACUCAGGAACACACAGGCUCUCACGGGCACACACACUCAGGAACACACCUCUCAGGGAACACCUACACACAGGGACACACAGGGCACACACACUCUCAGGGACACACAGGUUCUCACGGGCACACACACUCUCAGGGACACACAGGUUCACACACACAGAGGCACACACACUCAGGAACACACAGGCUCUCACGGGCACACACACUCUCAGGGACACACAGGUUCACACACACAGAGGCACACACACUCAGGAACACACAGGCUCUCACGGGCACACACACUCAGGAACACACAGGCUCUCACGGGCACACACACUCUCAGGGACACACAGGUUCACACACACAGAGGCACACACACUCAGGGACACACAGGCUGUCACGGGCACACACACUCUCAGGGACACACAGGCUCACGCACACGGGCACACACGCCCUCUCUCAGGGACACACAGGCUCACGCACACGGGCACACACGCCCUCUCUCUGGGACACAGGCCCACACACAUGCUGCGUGCAGACCCUGGAGUGGGGAUAGGGGACCCGCGCUUCUUGGAGCGAGAGGCCUCUGGCACCCUGGUCUAUGGCGAGCGUCGCCAGCCCAGGCAGAUGCUGUUUCCGCGCUUCCUCUCCCAGCAGACCCCGUCUGGAGCUGGCACAGAGCAUCCUCUGUUCCAGAUUCGGCGUGGGACGUUGGAAGCAAGCGCCUGUCGCCCACUCAUGACCGGAACUUUCCGGCAGUGCGAGGUGGGGGCGGGAAGCCCUUGUGACGUGUCUGGGGCCUGGGCCUGUCCUCCUCCCUGUGUCCACUGUGGACCAGGCUGGGCUGUGGCCUUCCCUGCUACGGAGACCACCACAAGAGACCCUGGGGGCCCCACGUCUGGAGAACGAGGAUGA